RNAcentral lists this long non-coding RNA (244 nucleotides) under Physcomitrium patens. RNAcentral's name for it is "long non-coding RNA (PPAT_LNC003451)". Lineage: Eukaryota; Viridiplantae; Streptophyta; Bryopsida; Funariales; Funariaceae. The record is from RNAcentral.
UAUGGUAUAAACCUCUCUUGAAUGAAUCUCAAAAAUCUUAUCAUUAUCCCCUAAUCCAAUAGAUGUAAUCAAUUCCAAUGAAUCUUCCAGUCCAUUUUCUUCAUAAACACCUAAAAUCCUCUCAUCAUCUUGUAAUGUACCUAACUUGCCUAAUUCUCUUUCAAUAUUAUAUAAUUUUUUUCUUUCUUUUCUUUUAAAAUCAUUAACUUUCUUAUACAUAAUAUUUCCAUUCUUCAAAAUACCA